CGCGUGGGCAACCUGCCUCAUACAGGGGGAUAGCAUCGGGAAACUGGUGGUAAAACCGCAUAAGCGCACGAAGACGCAUGUAUUCGUGUGAAAAGGAGAAAUCUGGUAUGAGAUGGACCCGCGUCUGAUUAGCUAGUUGGAGUGGUAAAAGCACACCAAGGCGACGAUCAGUAGCCGGCCUGAGAGGGUGGACGGCCACAUUGGGACUGAGACACGGCCCAGACUCCUACGGAAGGCAGCAG
RNAcentral lists this ribosomal RNA (242 nucleotides) under uncultured bacterium. Its description in RNAcentral is "partial 16S ribosomal RNA". It matches the Rfam family "Bacterial small subunit ribosomal RNA", at positions 114 to 354 of the family's 1533-position model. The record is from RNAcentral.